UACGAAGGGGGCUAGCGUUGUUCGGAAUUACUGGGCGUAAAGCGCGCGCAGGCGGCUAUCCAAGUCAGUGGUGAAAGCCCGGAGCUCAACUCCGGAACUGCCAUUGAAACUGUUUAGCUUGAGGAUGAGAGAGGUGAGUGGAAUUCCCAGUGUAGAGGUGAAAUUCGUAGAUAUUGGGAAGAACACCGGUGACGAAGGCGGCUCACUGGCUCAUUACUGACGCUCAGGCGCGAAAGCGUGGGGAGCAAACAGG
This 253-nucleotide ribosomal RNA is filed under the name uncultured bacterium. RNAcentral describes it as "partial 16S ribosomal RNA". It matches the Rfam family "Bacterial small subunit ribosomal RNA", at positions 524 to 776 of the family's 1533-position model. The record is from RNAcentral.